This is a long non-coding RNA of Quercus lobata, 224 nucleotides long. RefSeq lists it as uncharacterized. The transcript has 3 exons. NCBI's taxonomy places the organism in Eukaryota, Viridiplantae, Streptophyta, Magnoliopsida, Fagales, Fagaceae. The record is from RefSeq and is a predicted model, not a curated record.
AUGAAGAACAGAGAUCGACAAAGAGAUAAAUUUCAGGGCAGCCAUCACCGUCAUGCAAUCGGAACCGUUACCGGUGAAGGUUUGUAGGUGGAAAGGCAAAUCCUUGGAAGCAAUGCAAGUCUGAUUAGAAGCGGUACUACCAGCUAUAGUUUCCACUCUAUUGGAACCAUCACUGUACAAUUACAAUUCCAAUGUCACAUGCAGCCAAACUGGUUUCAAUGUCU